This 253-nucleotide ribosomal RNA is filed under the name uncultured bacterium. RNAcentral's name for it is "partial 16S ribosomal RNA". It matches the Rfam family "Bacterial small subunit ribosomal RNA", at positions 524 to 776 of the family's 1533-position model. The record is from RNAcentral.
UACAGAGGGUGCGAGCGUUGUCCGGAAUCACUGGGCGUAAAGAGUGCGUAGGCGGUUUUCUAAGUUUGGUGUGAAAUCUCCCGGCUUAACUGGGAGGGUGCGCCGAAGACUGGAAGGCUUGAGUAUGGGAGAGGUAAGCGGAAUUCCUGGUGUAGCGGUGAAAUGCGUAGAUAUCAGGAGGAACACCUGCGGUGUAGACGGCUUACUGGACCAUCACUGACGCUGAGGCACGAAAGCGUGGGUAGCAAACAGG